This 253-nucleotide ribosomal RNA is filed under the name uncultured bacterium. Its description in RNAcentral is "partial 16S ribosomal RNA". It matches the Rfam family "Bacterial small subunit ribosomal RNA", at positions 524 to 776 of the family's 1533-position model. The record is from RNAcentral.
UACGGGGGGGGCAAGCGUUGUUCGGAAUUACUGGGCGUAAAGGGCUCGUAGGUGGCCAACUAAGUCGGACGUGAAAUCCCUCGGCUUAACCCGGGAACUGCAUCCGAUACUGGAUGGCUUGAGUUCGGGAGAGGGAUGCGGAAUUCCAGGUGUAGCGGUGAAAUGCGUAGAUAUCUGGAGGAACACCGGUGGCGAAGGCGGCAUCCUGGACCGACACUGACGCUGAGGAGCGAAAGCCAGGGGAGCAAACGGG